GACGAACGCUGGCGGCGUGCUUAACACAUGCAAGUCGAACGGAAAGGCCCCCAUCUUGGUGGGGGUGCUCGAGUGGCGAACGGGUGAGUAACACGUGGGUGAUCUGCCCUGUACUUCGGGAUAAGCUUGGGAAACUGGGUCUAAUACCGGAUAGGACCAUGGUUUAGUGUCUCAUGGUGGAAAGAUUAUUGUUUUGGUGCAGGAUGAGCUCGCGGCCUAUCAGCUUGUUGGUGGGGUAAUGGCCUACCAAGGCGUCGACGGGUAGCCGGCCUGGGAGGGUGGACGGCCACAUUGGGACUGAGAUACGGCCCAGACUCCUACGGGAGGCAGCAGUGGGGAAUAUUGCACAAUGGGCGCAAGCCUGAUGCAGCGACGCCGCGUGGGGGAUGACGGCCUUCGGGUUGUAAACUCCUUUCGGUAGGGACGAAGCCACGCUUGUUGGGUGUGGUGACGGUACCUUUGUUAAGAAGCACCGGCUAACUACGUG
This 487-nucleotide ribosomal RNA is filed under the name uncultured bacterium. RNAcentral describes it as "partial 16S ribosomal RNA". It matches the Rfam family "Bacterial small subunit ribosomal RNA", at positions 28 to 507 of the family's 1533-position model. The record is from RNAcentral.